GGCAGAUGAUGGCUUUUUCUCACGAUGGUCUGCGGAUGGCACUGUGUCGAUAAUGCCGAUGGCUCAGCUGAUGCCAGGAG
This 80-nucleotide small nucleolar RNA is filed under the name Catagonus wagneri (Chacoan peccary). RNAcentral's name for it is "Small nucleolar RNA SNORD35 (ENSCWAG00000006289.1)". It matches the Rfam family "Small nucleolar RNA SNORD35". From Rfam's summary of the family: U35 is a C/D box snoRNA located in intron 6 of ribosomal protein L13A and intron 3 of ribosomal protein S11 in humans and at homologous positions in mouse and chicken ribosomal protein genes. The record is from Rfam by way of RNAcentral. Lineage: Eukaryota; Metazoa; Chordata; Mammalia; Artiodactyla; Tayassuidae.